UAGGGAAUCUUCCGCAAUGGGCGAAAGCCUGACGGAGCAACGCCGCGUGAGUGAUGAAGGUCUUCGGAUCGUAAAACUCUGUUAUUAGGGAAGAACAAAUGUGUAAGUAACUAUGCACGUCUUGACGGUACCUAAUCAGAAAGCCACGGCUAACUACGUGCCAGCAGCCGCGGUAAUACGUAGGUGGCAAGCGUUAUCCGGAAUUAUUGGGCGUAAAGCGCGCGUAGGCGGUUUUUUAAGUCUGAUGUGAAAGCCCACGGCUCAACCGUGGAGCGUCAUUGGAAACUGGAAAACUUGAGUGCAGAAGAGGAAAGUGGAAUUCCAUGUGUAGCGGUGAAAUGCGCAGAGAUAUGGAGGAACACCAGUGGCGAAGGCGACUUUCUGGUCUGUAACUGACGCUGAUGUGCGAAAGCGUGGGGAUCAAACAGG
RNAcentral lists this ribosomal RNA (429 nucleotides) under Actinomycetes bacterium. RNAcentral describes it as "Actinobacteria bacterium partial 16S ribosomal RNA". It matches the Rfam family "Bacterial small subunit ribosomal RNA", at positions 355 to 776 of the family's 1533-position model. Lineage: Bacteria; Bacillati; Actinomycetota; Actinomycetes. The record is from RNAcentral.